RNAcentral lists this transfer RNA (72 nucleotides) under Bos taurus (domestic cattle). It matches the Rfam family "tRNA". Rfam says of the family: Transfer RNA (tRNA) molecules are approximately 80 nucleotides in length. Their secondary structure includes four short double-helical elements and three loops (D, anti-codon, and T loops). Lineage: Eukaryota; Metazoa; Chordata; Mammalia; Artiodactyla; Bovidae. RNAcentral also lists the same sequence under 1 other name. The record is from Rfam by way of RNAcentral.
UCCCUAGUGGCUCAGACGGUAAAGCGUCUGCCUACAAUGCAGGAGACCUAGGUUCAAUCCCUGGGUCAGGAA